GGUUAAUUUGGAGAUAAUUGUAGAUUUGUCGGAGGAGAAUCUAGUUUGAACAGUAAAUUUCAUAAGAAUCUGAUUGUUACUUCCUAUUGCAUGAGGUAAACUGGGGAAACAGGAGAAGAAUAAACUUGUGGAAGUGGGGAAGCGAAUUCAAUCUCAGAAAAUUUUCUUUCAAAGACAUUUGUUGGGAUUUUUGGUCAUUGCAUUUGUCUAAUCUGACCAAAGCUGCACUAUAGAUGCAAGGUUUGAAAUUUCAACAAGAU
This 260-nucleotide unclassified non-coding RNA is filed under the name Hevea brasiliensis (rubber tree). Lineage: Eukaryota; Viridiplantae; Streptophyta; Magnoliopsida; Malpighiales; Euphorbiaceae. The record is from RNAcentral.